CACUUUCCUCCUCUUUCACGUUAUUACUCCUCUCUCAAAUAUUCCACAACUCAAUUUUCUCUCUCUUCAUUGUGCCUCCAUUAGAGCAUUAAUCAAGCUGGGAUUGCUCUUAGCUUCAAUUUUGUUCUAAUUGUUGCGAUUUCACUCCUUAUUCUCAAAGAUAUUCAUCGAGUUUCCAGAUUUUGUGUGUUUAAAGGUUUCUAUCUGCUUGAGCUAAGGAAUUAACAGUUCUUCAUAGUCUACUAUCAUCAAUCGCUGAAUUGAAUCUGCUUAAAACUUCUAUGGAGAAUAGUAAUUCUACCUUUGACAAAGAGAAGGCACAAGAACGGUUAUAAAAGCUCUCUGGUGGUGUUGUUGUUUUUAAGGUCCUAUGUUUGUUUCUGAAAUAUGAUCCCUUACUGGACCAAGCUGAGUGGCAUGGUGUGGACAAAGAAACUGAAGAUUCUAAGACCCCUUUUAUAGCAAGGGGUUUUGCUAGCAUCUCGAGUCUCUCGAUUUUGCCUGAUCUUGAUCCCAAAGAUGGAGCAAUCGUAAGAGGUGAUACUCCUAUGUCAGUCACAUGCUUUGCUGCUCCUAGUGAUCAAUGAUGUAUGUGGUCUCCCUAAUUAUAAUCUUAUUGGCUUGUCUCCCUUAAAUGCUCGCCAACAGUUUAUUUUAAUGAUUGCAGGGGUAAAUGAUGAAUGUGGUUGAUCCCAUUUUA
Long non-coding RNA from Spinacia oleracea (spinach), 700 nucleotides. RefSeq lists it as uncharacterized. NCBI's taxonomy places the organism in Eukaryota, Viridiplantae, Streptophyta, Magnoliopsida, Caryophyllales, Amaranthaceae. The transcript is spliced from 3 exons. The record is from RefSeq and is a predicted model, not a curated record.